Molecule: ribosomal RNA, 759 nt
Filed under: uncultured archaeon
Lineage: Archaea
Description: bacterial SSU rRNA
Rfam family: Archaeal small subunit ribosomal RNA
Source: RNAcentral
AGCCAUGCGAGUCGAGAGGGUUCGGCCCUCGGCGGACUGCUCAGUAACACGUGGAUAAUCUGCCCUUAGGUGGAGGAUAACCUCGGGAAACUGAGAAUAAUACUCCAUAGGUCUAGGAUGCUGGAAUGCAUCUAGACUCAAAGAUUUAUCGCCUAAGGAUGAGUCUGCGGACUAUCAGGUUGUAGUCAGGGUAAUGGCCUGACUAGCCUACGACGGAUACGGGUUGUGAGAGCAAUAACCCGGAGACGAUAUCUGAGACACGAUAUCGGGCCCUACGGGGCGCAGCAGGCGCGAAACCUUCACACUGUGCGAAAGCGCGAUGAGGGGAUCCCAAGUGCUUGCUCUUAGGAGUAAGCUGUUUUCCUGUUUAAAUCGCAGGGAGAGGAAGGGCUGGGUAAGACGGGUGCCAGCCGCCGCGGUAAUACCUGCAGCUCAAGUGGUGACCGCUAUUAUUGGGCCUAAAACGUUCGUAGCCGGUUUGGUAAAUGCCUGGGUAAAUCGAGCCGCUUAACGGUUCGAAUUCCGGGUAGACUGCCAGACUUGAGACCGGGAGAGGCUAGAGGUACUCCUGGGGUAGAGGUGAAAUUCUGUAAUCCUGGGGGGACCACCAGUGGCGAAGGCGUCUAGCUAGAACGGGUCUGACGGUGAGGGACGAAGCCCUGGGGCGCAAACCGGAUUAGAUACCCGGGUAGUCCAGGGUGUAAACGCUGCUUGCUUGAUGUUAGUCGGGCUCUGAGCCCGAUUAGUGUCGGAGAGAAG